Molecule: non-coding RNA, 85 nt
Organism: Felis catus (domestic cat)
Lineage: Eukaryota; Metazoa; Chordata; Mammalia; Carnivora; Felidae
Source: Rfam
GCCUGGGUAGCUCAGUCGGUUAAGCGUCCGACUUCAGCUCAGGUCAUGAUCUCAUGGUUCAUGGGUUCGAGCCCCGUGUCGGGCC